Molecule: non-coding RNA, 21 nt
Organism: Caenorhabditis elegans
Lineage: Eukaryota; Metazoa; Nematoda; Chromadorea; Rhabditida; Rhabditidae
Source: Ensembl
UAAAUAUCGAGUUCUUGAGAG